This 250-nucleotide ribosomal RNA is filed under the name uncultured prokaryote. RNAcentral describes it as "partial 16S ribosomal RNA". It matches the Rfam family "Archaeal small subunit ribosomal RNA", at positions 474 to 726 of the family's 1478-position model. The record is from RNAcentral.
UACCCGCAGCCCAAGUGGUGGUCGAUUUUUUGUGUCUAAAACGUUCGUAGCCGGUUCAUUAAAUCCUUGGGUAAAUCGGAGAGCUUAACUUCCCGACUUCCGAGGAGACUGGUGAACUUGGGACCGGGAGAGGCAAGAGGUACUUCUGGGGUAGGGGUAAAAUCCUGUAAUCCUAGAAGGACCACCGGUGGCGAAGGCGUCUUGCUAGAACGGAUCCGACGGUGAGGGACGAAGCCCUGGUCGCAAACGG